This 823-nucleotide ribosomal RNA is filed under the name Escherichia coli. RNAcentral's name for it is "partial 23S ribosomal RNA". It matches the Rfam family "Bacterial large subunit ribosomal RNA", at positions 677 to 1501 of the family's 2925-position model. Lineage: Bacteria; Pseudomonadati; Pseudomonadota; Gammaproteobacteria; Enterobacterales; Enterobacteriaceae. The record is from RNAcentral.
CCGAGUCUUAACUGGGCGUUAAGUUGCAGGGUAUAGACCCGAAACCCGGUGAUCUAGCCAUGGGCAGGUUGAAGGUUGGGUAACACUAACUGGAGGACCGAACCGACUAAUGUUGAAAAAUUAGCGGAUGACUUGUGGCUGGGGGUGAAAGGCCAAUCAAACCGGGAGAUAGCUGGUUCUCCCCGAAAGCUAUUUAGGUAGCGCCUCGUGAAUUCAUCUCCGGGGGUAGAGCACUGUUUCGGCAAGGGGGUCAUCCCGACUUACCAACCCGAUGCAAACUGCGAAUACCGGAGAAUGUUAUCACGGGAGACACACGGCGGGUGCUAACGUCCGUCGUGAAGAGGGAAACAACCCAGACCGCCAGCUAAGGUCCCAAAGUCAUGGUUAAGUGGGAAACGAUGUGGGAAGGCCCAGACAGCCAGGAUGUUGGCUUAGAAGCAGCCAUCAUUUAAAGAAAGCGUAAUAGCUCACUGGUCGAGUCGGCCUGCGCGGAAGAUGUAACGGGGCUAAACCAUGCACCGAAGCUGCGGCAGCGACGCUUAUGCGUUGUUGGGUAGGGGAGCGUUCUGUAAGCCUGCGAAGGUGUGCUGUGAGGCAUGCUGGAGGUAUCAGAAGUGCGAAUGCUGACAUAAGUAACGAUAAAGCGGGUGAAAAGCCCGCUCGCCGGAAGACCAAGGGUUCCUGUCCAACGUUAAUCGGGGCAGGGUGAGUCGACCCCUAAGGCGAGGCCGAAAGGCGUAGUCGAUGGGAAACAGGUUAAUAUUCCUGUACUUGGUGUUACUGCGAAGGGGGGACGGAGAAGGCUAUGUUGGCCGGGCGACGG